Molecule: ribosomal RNA, 2928 nt
Filed under: Salmonella enterica subsp. enterica serovar Enteritidis str. EC20120240
Lineage: Bacteria; Pseudomonadati; Pseudomonadota; Gammaproteobacteria; Enterobacterales; Enterobacteriaceae
Description: bacterial LSU rRNA
Rfam family: Bacterial large subunit ribosomal RNA
Source: RNAcentral
GGGUUGUGAGGUUAAGCGACUAAGCGUACACGGUGGAUGCCCUGGCAGUCAGAGGCGAUGAAGGGCGUACUAAUCUGCGAUAAGCGCCGGUAAGGUGAUAUGAACCGUUAUAACCGGCGAUACCCGAAUGGGGAAACCCAGUGUGAUUCGUCACACUAUCAUUAACUGAAUCCAUAGGUUAAUGAGGCGAACCGGGGGAACUGAAACAUCUAAGUACCCCGAGGAAAAGAAAUCAACCGAGAUUCCCCCAGUAGCGGCGAGCGAACGGGGAGGAGCCCAGAGCCUGAAUCAGCAUGUGUGUUAGUGGAAGCGUCUGGAAAGGCGCGCGAUACAGGGUGACAGCCCCGUACACAAAAGCGCAUGUGCUGUGAGCUCGAUGAGUAGGGCGGGACACGUGGUAUCCUGUCUGAAUAUGGGGGGACCAUCCUCCAAGGCUAAAUACUCCUGACUGACCGAUAGUGAACCAGUACCGUGAGGGAAAGGCGAAAAGAACCCCGGCGAGGGGAGUGAAAAAGAACCUGAAACCGUGUACGUACAAGCAGUGGGAGCACAGGUUUACCUGNNNNNNNNNNNNNCUUUUGUAUAAUGGGUCAGCGACUUAUAUUCUGUAGCAAGGUUAACCGAAUAGGGGAGCCGGAGGGAAACCGAGUCUUAAUUGGGCGUUAAGUUGCAGGGUAUAGACCCGAAACCCGGUGAUCUAGCCAUGGGCAGGUUGAAGGUUGGGUAACACUAACUGGAGGACCGAACCGACUAAUGUUGAAAAAUUAGCGGAUGACCUGUGGCUGGGGGUGAAAGGCCAAUCAAACCGGGAGAUAGCUGGUUCUCCCCGAAAGCUAUUUAGGUAGCGCCUCGUGAAUUCAUCUCCGGGGGUAGAGCACUGUUUCGGCUAGGGGGCCAUCCCGGCUUACCAACCCGAUGCAAACUGCGAAUACCGGAGAAUGUUAUCACGGGAGACACACGGCGGGUGCUAACGUCCGUCGUGAAGAGGGAAACAACCCAGACCGCCAGCUAAGGUCCCAAAGUCAUGGUUAAGUGGGAAACGAUGUGGGAAGGCCCAGACAGCCAGGAUGUUGGCUUAGAAGCAGCCAUCAUUUAAAGAAAGCGUAAUAGCUCACUGGUCGAGUCGGCCUGCGCGGAAGAUGUAACGGGGCUAAACCAUGCACCGAAGCUGCGGCAGCGACACUGUGUGUUGUUGGGUAGGGGAGCGUUCUGUAAGCCUGCGAAGGUGGCCUGUGAGGGUUGCUGGAGGUAUCAGAAGUGCGAAUGCUGACAUAAGUAACGAUAAAGCGGGUGAAAAGCCCGCUCGCCGGAAGACCAAGGGUUCCUGUCCAACGUUAAUCGGGGCAGGGUGAGUCGACCCCUAAGGCGAGGCCGAAAGGCGUAGUCGAUGGGAAACGGGUUAAUAUUCCCGUACUUGGUGUUACUGCGAAGGGGGGACGGAGAAGGCUAUGUUGGCCGGGCGACGGUUGUCCCGGUUUAAGCGUGUAGGUGUGUGUUCCAGGUAAAUCCGGUUCACUUUAACACUGAGGCGUGACGACGAGGCACUACGGUGCUGAAGCAACAAAUGCCCUGCUUCCAGGAAAAGCCUCUAAGCAUCAGGUAACAUCAAAUCGUACCCCAAACCGACACAGGUGGUCAGGUAGAGAAUACCAAGGCGCUUGAGAGAACUCGGGUGAAGGAACUAGGCAAAAUGGUGCCGUAACUUCGGGAGAAGGCACGCUGACACGUAGGUGAAGUGAUUUACUCAUGGAGCUGAAGUCAGUCGAAGAUACCAGCUGGCUGCAACUGUUUAUUAAAAACACAGCACUGUGCAAACACGAAAGUGGACGUAUACGGUGUGACGCCUGCCCGGUGCCGGAAGGUUAAUUGAUGGGGUCAGCGCAAGCGAAGCUCCUGAUCGAAGCCCCGGUAAACGGCGGCCGUAACUAUAACGGUCCUAAGGUAGCGAAAUUCCUUGUCGGGUAAGUUCCGACCUGCACGAAUGGCGUAAUGAUGGCCAGGCUGUCUCCACCCGAGACUCAGUGAAAUUGAACUCGCUGUGAAGAUGCAGUGUACCCGCGGCAAGACGGAAAGACCCCGUGAACCUUUACUAUAGCUUGACACUGAACAUUGAGCCUUGAUGUGUAGGAUAGGUGGGAGGCUUUGAAGUGUGGACGCCAGUCUGCAUGGAGCCGACCUUGAAAUACCACCCUUUAAUGUUUGAUGUUCUAACGUGGACCCGUUACCCGGGUUGCGGACAGUGUCUGGUGGGUAGUUUGACUGGGGCGGUCUCCUCCUAAAGAGUAACGGAGGAGCACGAAGGUUGGCUAAUCCUGGUCGGACAUCAGGAGGUUAGUGCAAUGGCAUAAGCCAGCUUGACUGCGAGCGUGACGGCGCGAGCAGGUGCGAAAGCAGGUCAUAGUGAUCCGGUGGUUCUGAAUGGAAGGGCCAUCGCUCAACGGAUAAAAGGUACUCCGGGGAUAACAGGCUGAUACCGCCCAAGAGUUCAUAUCGACGGCGGUGUUUGGCACCUCGAUGUCGGCUCAUCACAUCCUGGGGCUGAAGUAGGUCCCAAGGGUAUGGCUGUUCGCCAUUUAAAGUGGUACGCGAGCUGGGUUUAGAACGUCGUGAGACAGUUCGGUCCCUAUCUGCCGUGGGCGCUGGAGAACUGAGGGGGGCUGCUCCUAGUACGAGAGGACCGGAGUGGACGCAUCACUGGUGUUCGGGUUGUCAUGCCAAUGGCACUGCCCGGUAGCUAAAUGCGGAAGAGAUAAGUGCUGAAAGCAUCUAAGCACGAAACUUGCCCCGAGAUGAGUUCUCCCUGAGACUUAAAGUCUCCUGAAGGAACGUUGAAGACGACGACGUUGAUAGGCCGGGUGUGUAAGCGCAGCGAUGCGUUGAGCUAACCGGUACUAAUGAACCGUGAGGCUUAACCUUACAACGCCGAAG